AUACGGAGGGUCCGAGCGUUAUCCGGAAUCAUUGGGUUUAAAGGUUCCGUAGGCGGGAAUCUAAGUCAGUGGUGAAAUCUUGCAGCUCAACUGUAAAAUUGCCAUUGAUACUGGAUUUCUUGAAUUAGUGUGAAGUGGUUAGAAUGUGUAGUGUAGCGGUGAAAUGCAUAGAUAUUACACAGAAUACCAAUUGCGAAGGCAGAUCACUAACACUAUAUUGACGCUGAGGGACGAAAGCGUGGGGAGCGAACAGGAUUAGAAACCCCAGUAGUCC
Molecule: ribosomal RNA, 274 nt
Filed under: uncultured bacterium
Lineage: Bacteria
Description: partial 16S ribosomal RNA
Rfam family: Bacterial small subunit ribosomal RNA
Source: RNAcentral